UGAACGCUGGCGGCGUGCCUACUACAUGCAAGUCGAGCGAACAGACGAGGAGCUUGCUCCUCUGACGUUAGCGGCGGACGGGUGAGUAACACGUGGAUAACCUACCUAUAAGACUGGGAUAACUUCGGGAAACCGGAGCUAAUACCGGAUAAUAUAUUGAACCGCAUGGUUCCAUAGUGAAAGACGGUUUUGCUGUCACUUAUAGAUGGAUCCGCGCCGCAUUAGCUAGUUGGUAAGGUAACGGCUUACCAAGGCAACGAUGCGUAGCCGACCUGAGAGGGUGAUCGGCCACACUGGAACUGAGACACGGUCCAGACUCCUACGGGAGGCAGCAGUAGGGAAUCUUCCGCAAUGGGCGAAAGCCUGACGGAGCAACGCCGCGUGAGUGAUGAAGGUCUUCGGAUCGUAAAACUCUGUUAUUAGGGAAGAACAAAUGUGUAAGUAACUAUGCACGUCUUGACGGUACCUAAUCAGAAAGCCACGGCUAACUACGUG
Molecule: ribosomal RNA, 495 nt
Filed under: uncultured bacterium
Lineage: Bacteria
Description: partial 16S ribosomal RNA
Rfam family: Bacterial small subunit ribosomal RNA
Source: RNAcentral